This 77-nucleotide small RNA is filed under the name Salmonella enterica subsp. enterica serovar Anatum. RNAcentral describes it as "partial RtT sRNA". It matches the Rfam family "RtT RNA", at positions 51 to 130 of the family's 130-position model. From Rfam's summary of the family: This family represents a bacterial cis-regulatory element known as RtT RNA. The exact function of RtT is unknown although it is thought that it may be involved in changing the cellular response in relation to amino acid starvation. The record is from RNAcentral. Lineage: Bacteria; Pseudomonadati; Pseudomonadota; Gammaproteobacteria; Enterobacterales; Enterobacteriaceae.
AAAACGUGAAGGAUAACGUUGCGUCAGCAACGGCCCGUAGGGCGAGGCGAAGCCGAGUCAUCCUGCACGACCCAUCA